Molecule: ribosomal RNA, 453 nt
Filed under: uncultured bacterium
Lineage: Bacteria
Description: bacterial SSU rRNA
Rfam family: Bacterial small subunit ribosomal RNA
Source: RNAcentral
GAUGAACGCUAGCGAUAGGCCUAACACAUGCAAGUCGAGGGGCAUCACAUGAAGUAGCAAUACGGAUGGUGGCGACCGGCGCACGGGUGAGUAACACGUAUGCAACCUGCCUUCAACAAGGGGAUAACCCGUUGAAAGACGGACUAAUACCCUAUAACACAGGGGUCCCGCAUGGGAAUAUUUGUUAAAGGACAACCGGUUGAAGAUGGGCAUGCGUUCCAUUAGCUAGUUGGCGGGGUAACGGCCCACCAAGGCAACGAUGGAUAGGGGAACUGAGAGGUUUAUCCCCCACACUGGUACUGAGACACGGACCAGACUCCUACGGGAGGCAGCAGUGAGGAAUAUUGGUCAAUGGACGCAAGUCUGAACCAGCCACGUCGCGUGAAGGAAGACGGCCCUACGGGUUGUAAACUUCUUUUAUACGGGAAUAAAGUGCCCCACGCGUGGGGUUUU